UACGUAGGGUGCGAGCGUUAGUCGGAAUUACUGGGCGUAAAGUGUGCGCAGGCGGCGCCGCAAGUCGAGUGUGAAAGCCCCGAGUUUAACUUGGGAAUUGCGCUCGAAACUAUGGUGCUGGAGUGUGGCAGAGGAAGGUGGAAUUCCACGUGUAGCGGUGAAAUGCGUAGAGAUGUGGAGGAACACCGAUGGCGAAGGCAGCCUUCUGGGCCAACACUGACGCUCAUGCACGAAAGCGUGGGGAGCAAACAGG
This 253-nucleotide ribosomal RNA is filed under the name uncultured bacterium. Its description in RNAcentral is "partial 16S ribosomal RNA". It matches the Rfam family "Bacterial small subunit ribosomal RNA", at positions 524 to 776 of the family's 1533-position model. The record is from RNAcentral.